Molecule: ribosomal RNA, 1101 nt
Filed under: uncultured Francisella sp.
Lineage: Bacteria; Pseudomonadati; Pseudomonadota; Gammaproteobacteria; Thiotrichales; Francisellaceae
Description: bacterial SSU rRNA
Rfam family: Bacterial small subunit ribosomal RNA
Source: RNAcentral
UGCCCAUUUGAGGGGGAUACCAGUUGGAAACGACUGUUAAUACCGCAUAAUAUCUGCGGAUUAAAGGUGGCCUUUGUGCUGCCGCAGAUGGAUGAGCCUGCGUUGGAUUAGCUUGUUGGCGGGGUAAAGGCCCACCAAGGCUACGAUCCAUAGCUGAUUUGAGAGGAUGAUCAGCCACAUUGGGACUGAGACACGGCCCAAACUCCUACGGGAGGCAGCAGUGGGGAAUAUUGGACAAUGGGGGAAACCCUGAUCCAGCAAUGCCAUGUGUGUGAAGAAGGCUCUAGGGUUGUAAAGCACUUUAGUUGGGGAGGAAAGCUCAUAAGUUAAUAGCUUGUGGGAAGGACGUUACCCAAAGAAUAAGGACCGGCUAACUCCGUGCCAGCAGCCGCGGUAAUACGGGGGGUCCGAGCGUUAAUCGGAAUUACUGGGCGUAAAGGGUCUGUAGGUGGUUUGUUAAGUCAGAUGUGAAAGCCCAGGGCUCAACCUUGGAACUGCAUUUGAUACUGGCAAACUAGAGUAUGGUAGAGGAAUGGGGAAUUUCUGGUGUAGCGGUGAAAUGCGUAGAGAUCAGAAGGAACACCAAUGGCGAAGGCAACAUUCUGGACCAAUACUGACACUGAGGGACGAAAGCGUGGGGAUCAAACAGGAUUAGAUACCCUGGUAGUCCACGCUGUAAACGAUGAGUACUAGCUGUUGGAUUCGGUGUAAAGGAUCUAGUGGCGCAGCUAACGCGUUAAGUACUCCGCCUGGGGACUACGGCCGCAAGGCUAAAACUCAAAGGAAUUGACGGGGACCCGCACAAGCGGUGGAGCAUGUGGUUUAAUUCGAUGCAACGCGAAGAACCUUACCUGGUCUUGACAUCCUGCGAACUUUCUAGAGAUAGAUUGGUGCCUUCGGGAACGCAGUGACAGGUGCUGCACGGCUGUCGUCAGCUCGUGUUGUGAAAUGUUGGGUUAAGUCCCGCAACGAGCGCAACCCCUAUUGAUAGUUACCAUCAUUAAGUUGGGUACUCUAUUGAGACUGCCGCUGACAAGGCGGAGGAAGGUGGGGACGACGUCAAGUCAUCAUGGCCCUUACGACCAGGGCUAUCACACGUGC